RNAcentral lists this non-coding RNA (112 nucleotides) under Domibacillus enclensis. RNAcentral's name for it is "SAM-I sequence". It matches the Rfam family "SAM riboswitch aptamer (S box leader)". From Rfam's summary of the family: The SAM riboswitch is found upstream of a number of genes which code for proteins involved in methionine or cysteine biosynthesis in Gram-positive bacteria. The SAM riboswitch acts at the level of transcription termination control. Lineage: Bacteria; Bacillati; Bacillota; Bacilli; Caryophanales; Bacillaceae. The record is from RNAcentral.
CUCUUAUCCUGAGCUGGUGGAGGGACAGGCCCUGUGAAACCCAGCAACCUGCCGUAUGAUGAUUCGGAGAAGGUGCUAAACCUGAGCAAGGAUCAGCCUUGGACGAUAAGAG